Long non-coding RNA from Apis mellifera (honey bee), 1099 nucleotides. RefSeq lists it as uncharacterized. NCBI's taxonomy places the organism in Eukaryota, Metazoa, Arthropoda, Insecta, Hymenoptera, Apidae. The transcript has 3 exons. The record is from RefSeq and is a predicted model, not a curated record.
AAUAAUGAGUAAUGAACAUUCAAAAUGAUUUGAAUUUUCCAAGAUUAUGAAAAUUCGAAUUAUUUCGAAUAUAAUUCGAAGUUUAAAAAUUAGUUUUGCAAAAUAUCUCGUAAUAACUUUCAAAAAUUCUAGAUUUUCAAUUAUAUUCGAAAUGAUCUGAAUUUUUCGUCACAUUUAAAAGUGUUUCAAAUCCUAUCAUUGCAAAUGAUUAUAAUUAUUGUCACUAAUAAUAAUAAUGAGCCCUUCGAGAGUCGGCAGAAAACUUGAGUCACCGAAGGCAGCCGAAGGUGAGCAUGCGUCGCAGGGCCAACCGAGUUUAGCCGAGACAAGGCGAAACGAACCGAACGAAUCAAACGAACCAAGCGAAGCGACGUGGAUACAAGAGCGUUGUUAGGUCAUUGACUGCCGGUGGCCACCGAUCCGCGAGUAUCCAAGGACAGCCGCUCCGACGCCUCGCGAUCUCUUUCUCUCUCUACCCAUUUUCCCGUUCUUCCGACCUCUCUUUCUUUGAUUCUCUUUUCCUUCUAUUCGUUCUUAUCAUCUCAUUUCAUUCUGUUCCGUUUAGAAAAAACCUAUUGGAUGAAUAUUGCAUGAUAUUAAAGAAUUGCAAUUGACUAAUGAUACUAAAUAUCCCAUUAAUCUUUAAUAAAUGAUGAAAAACAUGUUCAAAACAUAGUCCUUGAAUCAUAUUCAAGAAUAUAUAUUAUACUGUAUUGAAAUAUUACUCAUAACUUCAAAUAAAUUACAGAAAUUCUGUCGUAAAAUUUUCAAGUAUAGUAAUCAGUUUUAGCCAAUAGAACAAGUUAAACAGAGUGAAAUUUGAUACAGGAACCUUUUCAGAAUUUAAAUAUUUACCUACGUUUACAAUCGGUUCGAAGGUAUAAUUCUUCUUCAAUGACAUGAACCUUUUCAACUUGAAUGGUCAUUUGGUCCUAAUAAAAUAUGAUUGUGCAAUUUCUUUGCAAAAUGGUAACAAUAAUAAAUGAAGCUUUUCUAAAAGCUGACAGAAUAUAAAUGCACAGAAAUUUAUUAUUUUGGAUGAGGUAUGAAAUUUUUAUAAUGCUCUUAAUUAUAUUGUUUACUAUUAGGUUAUAAGAAU